UAGGGAAUAUUGGACAAUGGGGGCAACCCUGAUCCAGCCAUGCCGCGUGAGUGAAGAAGGCCCUCGGGUUGUAAAGCUCUUUUGUCCGGAAAGAAAAGCAUUCGGUGAAUACCCGGAUGUUCUGACGGUACCGGAAGAAUAAGCACCGGCUAACUUCGUGCCAGCAGCCGCGGUAAUACGAAGGGUGCAAGCGUUACUCGGAAUUACUGGGCGUAAAGCGUGCGUAGGUGGUUGUUUAAGUCUGAUGUGAAAGCCCUGGGCUCAACCUGGGAAUGGCAUUGGAAACUGGGCAGCUAGAGUGCGGUAGAGGGUAGUGCAAUUCCCGGUGUUGCAGUGAAAUGCGUAGAGAUCGGGAGGAACAUCUGUGGCGAAGGCGACUGCCUGGACCAGCACUGACACUGAGGCACGAAAGCGUGGGGAGCAAACA
RNAcentral lists this ribosomal RNA (427 nucleotides) under uncultured bacterium. Its description in RNAcentral is "bacterial SSU rRNA". It matches the Rfam family "Bacterial small subunit ribosomal RNA", at positions 355 to 774 of the family's 1533-position model. The record is from RNAcentral.